This 232-nucleotide ribosomal RNA is filed under the name uncultured bacterium. Its description in RNAcentral is "partial 16S ribosomal RNA". It matches the Rfam family "Bacterial small subunit ribosomal RNA", at positions 57 to 305 of the family's 1533-position model. The record is from RNAcentral.
GCAAGUCGAACGCAGAAAGCGAUUUCGGUCGUGAUUAUGAGUGGCGGACGGGUGAGUAACGCGUGAGAAUCUGCCCUUAGGUCGGGGAUAACAGUUGGAAACGACUGCUAAUACCGGAUGUGCCGAGAGGUGAAAGAUUUAUUGCCUGAGGAUGAUCUCGCGUCUGAUUAGCUAGUUGGUAGUGUAAUGGACUACCAAGGCGACGAUCAGUAGCCGACCUGAGAGGGUGAUC